RNAcentral lists this ribosomal RNA (245 nucleotides) under uncultured bacterium. Its description in RNAcentral is "partial small subunit ribosomal RNA". It matches the Rfam family "Bacterial small subunit ribosomal RNA", at positions 26 to 285 of the family's 1533-position model. The record is from RNAcentral.
AGAAUCAACGCUGGCGGCGUGCCUAACACAUGCAAGUCGAACGAGAAAGUGGAGCAAUCCACAAGUAAAGUGGCGCACGGGUGAGUAGCACGUGACUAACCUACCCUUGAGUGGGGGAUAACCUAGAGAAAUCUGGGCUAAUACCGCAUAAUACCUUCGGGUCAAAGGAGCAAUUCGCUUAAGGAGGGGGUCGCGGCCGAUUAGUUAGUUGGCGGGGUAAUGGCCCACCAAGACUAUGAUCGGUA